GUAGGUGGCAAGCGUUGUCCGGAAUUAUUGGGGCGUAAAGCGCGCGCAGGCGGUUCUUUAAGUCUGAUGUGAAAGCCCACGGGCUCAACCGUGGGAGGGUCAUUGGAAGCUGGAGAACUUGAGUACAGAAGAGGAAAGCGGAAUUCCACGUGUAGCGGUGAAAUGCGUAGAGAUGUGGAGGAACACCAGUGGCGAAGGCGGCUUUCUGGUCUGUAACUGACGCUGAGGCGCGAAAGCGUGGGGAGCAAACAGGAUUAGAUACCCUGGUAGUCCACGCCGUAAACGAUGAGUGCUAAGUGUUAGGGGGUUUCCGCCCCUUAGUGCUGCAGCUAACGCAUUAAGCACUCCGCCUGGGGAGUACGGCCGCAAAGGCUGA
This 376-nucleotide ribosomal RNA is filed under the name uncultured organism. RNAcentral describes it as "partial 16S ribosomal RNA". It matches the Rfam family "Bacterial small subunit ribosomal RNA", at positions 527 to 897 of the family's 1533-position model. The record is from RNAcentral.